This 537-nucleotide ribosomal RNA is filed under the name uncultured Psychrobacter sp. RNAcentral describes it as "bacterial SSU rRNA". It matches the Rfam family "Bacterial small subunit ribosomal RNA", at positions 86 to 619 of the family's 1533-position model. Lineage: Bacteria; Pseudomonadati; Pseudomonadota; Gammaproteobacteria; Moraxellales; Moraxellaceae. The record is from RNAcentral.
CCUAACUUAGCGGCGGACGGGUGAGUAAUACUUAGGAAUCUGCCUAUUAGUGGGGGACAACAGUUGGAAACGACUGCUAAUACCGCAUACGCCCUACGGGGGAAAGCAGGGGAUCUUCGGACCUUGCGCUAAUAGAUGAGCCUAAGUCAGAUUAGCUAGUUGGUGGGGUAAAGGCCUACCAAGGCGACGAUCUGUAGCUGGUCUGAGAGGAUGAUCAGCCACACCGGGACUGAGACACGGCCCGGACUCCUACGGGAGGCAGCAGUGGGGAAUAUUGGACAAUGGGGGAAACCCUGAUCCAGCCAUGCCGCGUGUGUGAAGAAGGCCUUUUGGUUGUAAGGCACUUUAAGCAGUGAAGAAGACUCUUCGGUUAAUGCCCGGAGACGAUGACAUUAGCUGCAGAAUAAGCACCGGCUAACUCUGUGCCAGCAGCCGCGGUAAUACAGAGGGUGCAAGCGUUAAUCGGAAUUACUGGGCGUAAAGCGAGCGUAGGUGGCUUGAUAAGUCAGAUGUGAAAUCCCCGGGCUUAACCUGGGA